Long non-coding RNA from Zonotrichia leucophrys gambelii, 772 nucleotides. RefSeq lists it as uncharacterized. The record is from RefSeq and is a predicted model, not a curated record. The transcript is spliced from 5 exons. Lineage: Eukaryota; Metazoa; Chordata; Aves; Passeriformes; Passerellidae.
CCAGGUCCUGCCAGGUUUUAGGAGGUUUGGGAUGCUCCAGGGAGAGGAUUUUCCUUGCACUGCUCAGCUCAGCCCAUCAUUCUCUCAGGGCUCCCGGAAUCAAAUAUUGUGGUCAAACUCACCAAAAACUUCUUCCAGUGAUGCCCAACACCUUUCCUCUGGAACCCUAAGCAUUUUAUAAAUCUGAUUUGAUUUUUGACAACUGGGGUCAUCUCAAGGAUUAUUUCAAUAAUGCCAGCUCUGGAGUGAGGAUGGAAACCAGACUUUGGAGCAGCAGAUAUCCUCCCCUGGAUCUCUGGAAACCUUUGGUGUUUCUCUGUGCCUCACUCAGGGUAUAAAGCUGAGGGUGCCUUCAGCAUCCAGCACCAAUGUGUGCCCAUUCGCAGCCCUGGAAUUUGCCACCCAGAGCCUUGGCUUUCCCUGGGUGACCUGACCUGCCGUGGUUGCCUUGAGCUCUCAGCCCUUCAGCCAAGGAGCUGGAUGGAUGUCUUGCCUCACCCAGGCAACGGGAGAUGUCAAAAGUUCAUUGGAUUUACGGAUUACAAAUCACCAGUUGUCUCUCAAGCAUUGUGCAAAUGAUCCGACGCUGUUUUAUGGCACCCAGGGAGCUGCCUGGGCAGGGAUUCAGGCGUGUGCUGAAGCACCUUGUUGACUUCAGCAUCUAAAUAUCUAAAAUGAGCAUUUUCAAUGAGAGCAAGAGACACGUUCUCCUCCUUCCCUGGACCAAAGUGUGGCUUAGUCCCCAGUCUCGUCCAAGAGGUAUUAAAGUCGU